This is a long non-coding RNA of Notothenia coriiceps (black rockcod), 428 nucleotides long. RefSeq lists it as uncharacterized. The transcript is spliced from 2 exons. The record is from RefSeq and is a predicted model, not a curated record. Lineage: Eukaryota; Metazoa; Chordata; Actinopteri; Perciformes; Nototheniidae.
CAUUUAACUUCAGGAUUCCUGCAUAUACCUUGGCUAUAGAGUUAAUUAUUACUUCCAAAUCUACAACAAAAAUCAUUGUACAAAUGUUUCUUUAACAACUGGAUGCAGGCCAUAAUGGCGGAGGGAAAACAAUUUGCACUUUGUGUUGGCAUUAUGAAGAUGUCAGCAGACAGCAUAGAGAAAGUUAACAAGGGAAUUGGUAUUGAGAACGUUCAUUAUCUGAAUGAUGGAUUGUGGCACAUGAAGACGUAUAAAUGAUGACAUCACCACCUGCAACGCCUGCCCCCACACCCCUCCCCCACAGAAAGUGCGGUGCUCGCAUGGGCUCCACGUCACCUGUUUACACCUAAGGACUUAGCUGUGUAACCUGCUGAAGGCUUUGAAUUAUUUGCCAUUAUGCACAAAUAAAUGAAAGAUCUUGCUUUAAA